Molecule: non-coding RNA, 45 nt
Filed under: Schistosoma mattheei
Lineage: Eukaryota; Metazoa; Platyhelminthes; Trematoda; Strigeidida; Schistosomatidae
Source: RNAcentral
AUUUAACUGACAAGUCUCAAAUAGGACGAAAUGCGCAACCUGAAU